UGGGGAAUAUUGGGCAAUGGGCGAAAGCCUGAUCCAGCAAUGCCGCGUGUGUGAAGAAGGUCUUCGGAUUGUAAAGCACUUUCGACGGGGACGAUGAUGACGGUACCCGUAGAAGAAGCCCCCGGCUAACUUCGUGCCAG
RNAcentral lists this ribosomal RNA (140 nucleotides) under uncultured bacterium. RNAcentral's name for it is "partial 16S rRNA". It matches the Rfam family "Bacterial small subunit ribosomal RNA", at positions 355 to 511 of the family's 1533-position model. The record is from RNAcentral.